Molecule: small nuclear RNA, 125 nt
Organism: Dipodomys ordii (Ord's kangaroo rat)
Lineage: Eukaryota; Metazoa; Chordata; Mammalia; Rodentia; Heteromyidae
Source: Ensembl
GUGUUGUAUGAAAGGAGAGAAGGUUAGCAUUCUCCUUGACAAGGAUGAAGAGGCCCUUGGGCCUGACAACAUGCAUAUGGUUAAGGCAUUGCCACCUACUUUGUGGCAUCUAACUAUCGUUUUAG